UGUCAAAUAAAAAAAAAUUAUUUUCCAAAAAAUUUAAAAAAACUGCAAAUGUUUUCAUCCUUUGGCGCUGAACUAUUUUUCCUUUCCCUCUCUUCUCCCAAAACCAGAUUUAACACAGUACCCUCUCAAAACCAGUACCCACAUCGAUCCAGACAACCCUUCUUCCUCUCAUCGUCGACCAAAACCAAUUUUCAUAUGAUCACAAAAAUGAAACCCUUCAAGCCCUAAACUAUCAUCUCAUCUUCUCACCGAACCCUUCAAACCCUAACCCUGUAAUCUCUACCCAUGGAUUCAUCUUAAUAGAAUCAUAACCCAUCAUCUCGUUCGAACUAAUCCACCAAACCCAUCAUCUCAACUUCUCAUCGAACCCUUUUCUGAAAGCGGCGAACUCGUAUGCAUUUCGUUUGAUUUGUUAUUACUGGGUUUGAAGGUAUUGAAUGCUGCGGCCUUUUUGCCUAAUCUAUGCUAAUAAGGUUCAAUGGAAUGCAAGAGGUCAACCAAUCAAGCAUAAGAACAAGGAUUUUGCUAGUUUCGUUGGUGUCACAGUUCUUCACUUAGUUCCGAUUGCUAACAUUGGUGUCACAUUUGGGAUGACAUUCAAUUCGAAGGUUGGAAGUUCUAGUCUUAAUCUGUGGCUAUGAGAGCUGGUCACUUUGGAAUUUUUUGGUUCGGCUGCUGUUGCGUGGGAUGGGCAGUGCUUCGGUUGGAAGUUGUUCCUAGUUUCUGCUGUUUUGUUGUCCUUGUUUUUUAGGUGAUAUUUCUUUUGUUAAGGGGAUAUGAGUAAAUUGUUUCGAAUUGAGCACCGUUGUAUUCUAUUGGAAAAUUUGGCUAUGUAAUACCCUUUUUUUUAUGUUAUCUGUAGACAGGUUUUGGAUCUUAUCAUAUUAUAUAUGCAAUAAGUAAAUAAAGUUUUAUUUGAUAUUGGAAA
Medicago truncatula (barrel medic) is the source of this 928-nucleotide long non-coding RNA. RefSeq lists it as uncharacterized. The transcript has 4 exons. The record is from RefSeq and is a predicted model, not a curated record. NCBI's taxonomy places the organism in Eukaryota, Viridiplantae, Streptophyta, Magnoliopsida, Fabales, Fabaceae.